AUCAAUGAUCACUGAUUUGAUGUAGAGAAGGACAAGAUAAUUCACAUGAGACUGCAAACAACUCAAAAGGAUGAAAGGAUGCAGUUUUAAUAAUGCGAUGAUGCAGCCCACCCCCUCCCUUUCUCCUUCGCUCAUUCACACGCAUGCAUACAAAGCAAGAGAAUCAUUAAAGUUCAAUGAAAAAUAUUUUCUGACCAUACUAGAGGACGUUUGAUGGUUCUGAAAUGACAGCAUCAGAUCAUAAAAAUAAGAGAAAAAUGAACCGCAUGCAAAGAAACACAGAAGAUGUAAACUAUUGCGGUUACAAGUAUGGUUUUCUAGUUCAGCUAUUUUACAUAAGCUCCCACGAGGUGACAGGAUGCAUGUUCACUAAAGAGUUCUCAUUCAAGCUGAAUCGCCAACAGGUAUAAUCAUUUCAGAAUCUAGAGGGGUAAGUAAAAUAUAAGCAGAAUUACUGGAAACAUGAAAACAUGCUAACAACACGAGAUCACCACAGAACAAUCAACACCAGAAUAGAAUGCGAUACACGACACAUCCACUUCGUACAUCAUCAUAUUUGCAUUGCCUUAAAAAUGAUCUGUUUUCCAACUUAUCAAAGUGCUUAAAUUUUGUUCAUACAAUUCCCAACCCCAUCUGUUCUGAAACUAAUUAUUUUGGAAAUAAAAAAAUAAUACAUACCUUAAGUUACUCGGAAUGGUCAAGAAGAAUAGCAAAAGUAACUGCAGAUAGAUGUUAACUAUCAAAUAAUAUUCGAAUUUCCAAUCACCACGCAGGGUAAAGCGAAAGCUUAACAAGCUUUCAUUGGAUGGCAAGGUAUCAAAACC
RNAcentral lists this long non-coding RNA (824 nucleotides) under Citrus sinensis (sweet orange). RNAcentral's name for it is "long non-coding RNA (CSIN_LNC004103)". The record is from RNAcentral. Lineage: Eukaryota; Viridiplantae; Streptophyta; Magnoliopsida; Sapindales; Rutaceae.